AGAUAUUUAGGUUAUCAUAAACCAGAGACCUUCAAAGUCCCAAAUAGGGGCCUACCCCUAAUAUCUG
This 67-nucleotide transfer RNA is filed under the name Paroedura oviceps. RNAcentral describes it as "tRNA-Trp". The record is from RNAcentral. Lineage: Eukaryota; Metazoa; Chordata; Lepidosauria; Squamata; Gekkonidae.